UGAGAGUUAUAAUUGAUGAGAUUUUCGGUUGUGAUUGUGAUAUUUUAUGAUAGAAAAGUCAAAUUUUGCUGCCAAUCUCAAUCCACAUAUGAUAAGAAUACGCAUGGUUGAUGCAUUACGCCUGCAUGACUUCUCAAAUUGUCAAAGGUAUGGCAUUACCUGCCACAUUCUUAUAAUGUGAAAGUAUGUACAGAUUGUGAGCAUCAAAAAAAUAAAGGACCCCACACUUGGAAGUGCUAGAGCACAAAAAUCACAUGAUUCUAUUCAUUUUUUGACAGAUUUAAUAAGUGGUCUGUUUGACUAGCUUGAGAGAUGGAGACAUUUUGUUGUAAAUCUUGAUGGAUGGAUGGAUGGAUGGAUGGAUGGAUCACCUGGGAGGCUGUCAAGAAGAGGUCCUAAGGAAAGGCGUUUGAUAAUAUAAGUGUAAUACAGGGGUGUUUAAGAAUAAAACAAAUAAGUUGCAGCAAUUAAUAUGGUAAAUUGAUCAUCAGGGGGGAGAGCUGCUUUACAAACAGUUUUGUACACUUUGACAUACACGGAUAUUGAUGCAAAGAUGUAUGAGAGAACCAGUGUACUUUCUACUAGUAAGAUUUUCAUUAGUUUUGGGUCCUUUGGGAUCUAUCUUUCUCUUUC
This 633-nucleotide long non-coding RNA is filed under the name Gossypium raimondii (Peruvian cotton). RNAcentral describes it as "long non-coding RNA (GRAI_LNC004101)". Lineage: Eukaryota; Viridiplantae; Streptophyta; Magnoliopsida; Malvales; Malvaceae. The record is from RNAcentral.